AAGAACAUAUUAAAGUUGGAAGACUUUUCAAACUAUUAAAUCUCUUGGGAUGAUUGCGAUAUUUUGGUAAAUACUAUGUGUCAACAAUCAACAUGUGGACAGUGAAAAUCUCGGAUCUCUCUUCAACUUGUCUUGAAUGCAAUAGAGAAAUCGAUUGGCUGCUGCAAAUUGUUACUUAAUCUUUUUACAACUGAGACGAAGUUCCCAACCUAUGAAUAUAAGAUAUACUUUUUGAUAAUUAUGUAUUCUUAAUUUUUUCAAUUUUGUUGGCUCAUUAAUAAAGAGAUUUUUAAAACUUUA
Eurytemora carolleeae is the source of this 300-nucleotide long non-coding RNA. RefSeq lists it as uncharacterized. The record is from RefSeq and is a predicted model, not a curated record. The transcript has 2 exons. Lineage: Eukaryota; Metazoa; Arthropoda; Copepoda; Calanoida; Temoridae.